Molecule: ribosomal RNA, 253 nt
Filed under: uncultured bacterium
Lineage: Bacteria
Description: partial 16S ribosomal RNA
Rfam family: Bacterial small subunit ribosomal RNA
Source: RNAcentral
UACAGAGGUCUCAAGCGUUGUUCGGAUUCAUUGGGCGUAAAGGGCGCGUAGGCGGCGGGGUAAGUCGGGUGUGAAAUCUCAGAGCUCAACUCUGAAACUGCACUCGAUACUGCUCUGCUUGAGGACUGGAGAGGAGACUGGAAUUCACGGUGUAGCAGUGAAAUGCGUAGAUAUCAGGAGGAACACCAAUAGCGAAGGCAGCUCGCUGGGACGUUACUGACACUGAGGCGCGAAAGCGUGGGGAGCGAACAGG